Molecule: non-coding RNA, 655 nt
Organism: Tinamus guttatus (white-throated tinamou)
Lineage: Eukaryota; Metazoa; Chordata; Aves; Tinamiformes; Tinamidae
Source: RefSeq, a predicted model, not a curated record
CAAGCAGUCGAAACCAAUAACUAAUACAAGAAACCAACUUUUCCUCUCUUUAUUUUAGAUUUGGGAAAAUUCCCUGCCAAAAAAAUAUCCUGGAAAAUUCACUAGUGUUUGUGUGAAGAAAUCUUGAAGACCAGAAAUUGGAACUUACUGAAUUUUAAAUUAAAACAAAAAUAUAUGUUUAUAUAAAUUGUCCGGCUGUGGAAGAUGGAUCUUCAUUUUUGCAGCCACUUUGAGUCACAAGUUCAUCUUUAAAUGAACUGGGUUUUUUUUUUUCAUUAUUUUUAAUUUUUAUUUUUUGAAGAGCUAACUAACCCUGGCUGUCUCCAGUCUCUCAGAGUAUUCAAAUGGACUUGCUUCCUCCAUUAGUUGUAAGAUGUUUAAAAGCACAUCCUAAGUUUGAAUUGUGGAUGAGAGGUUCCCUUGGCAAUGUGAGGAGGAAAAUUCUUUCUACCCCUUUAUUAUUAAUUCACGGAUUCAGUGUUGGUUCGGCCUACAGGAGAAGUUAACUGGAAGUCUUGGAAGAUCAGUACCUUUGCUGAGAUUGUCCAGGGUUACUUUUAAAAGAAGAUUUCACUGAUCAAGCCUGUAGAAGACUUUCAGCCCAAGAAAGAGUGAAAGCAGCACUUGUCAAGAGUGCAGGAGGUCCCUGUGAAGA